GGGGACGUCAGGUAGUGGCAACGGGUGCGUAACGCGUGGGAACCUGCCUUUAGGUUCGGAAUAACUCAGAGAAAUUUGAGCUAAUACCGGAUAAUGUCUUCGGACCAAAGAUUUAUCGCCUUUAGAUGGGCCCGCGUUAGAUUAGAUAGUUGGUGGGGUAACGGCCUACCAAGUCGACGAUCUAUAGCUGGUCUGAGAGGAUGAUCAGCCACACUGGGACUGAGACGCGGCCCAGACUCCUACGGGAGGCAGCAGUGGGGAAUGUUGGACAAUGGGCGAAAGCCUGAUCCAGCAAUGCCGCGUGAGUGAUGAAGGCCUUAGGGUUGUAAAGCUCUUUUGCUAGGGAUGAUAAUGACAGUACCUAGAGAAUAAGCUCCGGCUAACUCCGUGCCAGCAGCCGCGGUAAUACGGAGGGAGCUAGCGCUGUUCGGAAUUACUGGGCGUAAAGCGCGCGUAGGCGGCUUAUCAAGUCAGGGGUGAAAUCCCGGAGCUCAACUCCGGAACUGCCCUUGAAACUGGUUGGCUAGAAUAUUGGAGAGGUAAGUGGAAUUCCGAGUGUAGAGGUGAAAUUCGUAGAUAUUCGGAAGAGCACCAGUGGCGAAGGCGACUUACUGGACAAUUAUUGACGCUGAGGUGCGAAAGCGUGGGGA
This 650-nucleotide ribosomal RNA is filed under the name uncultured bacterium. Its description in RNAcentral is "bacterial SSU rRNA". It matches the Rfam family "Bacterial small subunit ribosomal RNA", at positions 81 to 767 of the family's 1533-position model. The record is from RNAcentral.